RNAcentral lists this unclassified non-coding RNA (215 nucleotides) under Hevea brasiliensis (rubber tree). Lineage: Eukaryota; Viridiplantae; Streptophyta; Magnoliopsida; Malpighiales; Euphorbiaceae. The record is from RNAcentral.
AGAUGGGGUAUAGUUGGAUUAAGGUUGAUUUAUUUUUGUUUUGUUUUUAUUUUUAGAAAAUAUUUUUAGGGUUUUAGUUGAGAGUUUAUGGUGUUUAUUAGGUUUUUUUAAUUUUGGUGAGUUUUGAAAUUUAAUUUUUAAUUUAAUAGGAUUGAUGGAAUUUUUGUUUAUUUUUUUAGUUUUUUAUUUGUUGUUUUUAUUUUUAAUUUUAUUAU